Long non-coding RNA from Alligator mississippiensis (American alligator), 2652 nucleotides. RefSeq lists it as uncharacterized. The transcript is spliced from 3 exons. NCBI's taxonomy places the organism in Eukaryota, Metazoa, Chordata, Crocodylia, Alligatoridae. The record is from RefSeq and is a predicted model, not a curated record.
UUCCUACAGGGGACUUGGGAGCCCGAGGCUGGAGGAAGGAUUGCUGUGGGAGAUCAGAAGCUGUAGGGACUCACUUUGGGUAGUUGCACUAAGAAGUGGUGUGGAAGUAAAAUGGUGGGUUUACAGGACAUGGAGUAGGAGCAGAGACUCUCAUCAGUGGGAGCUGCUGGCUACAGGGAGAAAGCAAGUGAGCACAAGGGCUUUAUCAGGCCAACAGCUCUAGUCUGCACAUGAGCAGGAUUGCUGUUGUGGCCCUGCUAGCCUCCCUUCUUCCUGAGGCCCAGGUCCCCAAGGGGAUUUUGGAACACUGAAAACAGUGAGCAUGUGGUGCCUUGAUGCCCCUGAACACCUGGGCAUGAGUCUAGCAUACAGCUCACCUCACUGCCUGUUGGCGAGAGCAGCAUAUCGUUAAUGGAUGGAGCGAGACCCUGUUGACUCCAGUGCCCGAUGCUCAGUCGCUGACGUCUGUGACCUUGCAGCCGGCUGCUGCUGUUCUCAUGUGCUAUACAUGACAAUGCAGCUGGCGGCAGCAGUGGCAGCAGCACGUUAUGGCCUGACAUUCAUAGACAUUUUUUUUUUAAAUGAUGCAUGUAAAUAUUGCCAAAUUGCAGGGAACAGUGAGCUACUUGAGAUGAAUAUUUCUUCCUGCAGCUUAGACUGAGCUAUGCCAGCUCUGUCCCCUUCACCUGGCUCACUGGACCACUCAGAUAAGUAGUCCCCUUGGGACAAUCCCAGUGUUAUGGCUUUGGCUGAACCAAAGUAUCAGCCCUCUCCUCAUUUGUGUCUCAGCUGUGGCCCUGCUAGAGCUGGUUUCAAUGUGUGUUUGGAUUUCUGGCCCUGUGGAUAAAAGGCAGGAAGGACAACGUUCGUGCAGAGGGAGAAUCAGAAUCACCUGGUUCAGGAGGGCACAUCUCCUUCUCCUUCUGUGGGAGGACAUUUGGUCCAGCAUGAUUGGGGCGUAAGACAAAAAAAAGCAUCAUCUGAGCAUGGGUGCAGUCGUGGUGAUGGGAGCAGUGAUAGCGGCAGGAGGGGACUUGUCUAAGUGGCCAGGAAGGGCCCUUGCAAUCCCCCAGCAAGCGAGCACACUGCUUGAGGCUGACAGGACCCAGCAUUGGAACUUCUGCCCUGACAGCAACAUUGUGGAGCAGAGCCCAGAUGUGCCGGUGUUGACAUCAUGCUCUGCCAUAUGGGGCUCCUGGGUCCUUGGCACCCACCAGGGAAAGACCUGAUGAGCUUCUGCAAAUUAUAAGAUGAGAGAGCAAGGAAAUGAUUCACGCACAAAGCCCCAGACUCCCCCCUACAACCAUUAGUGCAGGGAGGGGCAUGUGGGCUAGAGGCAGUGUUGUGAAGGGACUGGUUCUGCUCAUGUCUGAGACUCAGAUGCCCCGUGUGGGUUUUCUCUUCCUUCUGAUGGCCCUUGUCAGCCAUGCUGUUGUUUAUGAAGGGUCUCUUUUUGCCCUGCAGCUGCUGGAGGCUCAUCAUUACCAAUUUUCUCGGUGACGAGAAGGAACCCAUGGGGCCAAUCUCAUCCUGAUGCAAGUAGACCUAGCAUACAGCACCACCUUUCAUUUUCUUCUUCACAAGUUUCAGGGUUCCCAAGAAACCUUUUUUUUUUCUUUUUCCCUGGUGCAAAAGCGGUGUCUUGUCUUGCAAUCUUUGUGCUAAAAAGGUGUGAGAGAAACAGAGAGGGACCCCUGGCAGGGAACCGUGGAUAAAGAUGAGCGGCAGGAGCAGGAAGGCUCGCUUGGUAAAGAAUGCCUUUCUCAUCUUCCUUUGUUCGGUUUCUUCCUAAUGCUCUUCUUCUCUCAUUAAUGGUAGUGUAUUUUUUUUUCCUUGUUCAAAUAAAGCAGUCAGAACAGAUGUGCACACGCAGUCACAGGCUCACAGGAGCACACAUCCAGCCAGACAUACACACGUGUGCACACAUUCACACGUGCACAGAGCGCUGCCCCUCGCUUCCCUGUCCCUGCUGCCUGCUGAUUAAACUGCAGUACAACUAAAUCGUAAAUUUCAGCCAAAGAGUUUUAUUUUUCUCUUCACAGUCAAGAAAAUUACCCAGACGAAGGAGCCCGGCCCACUCUGAGCCGCUUUUCUGCUGCUCCCUCUGUCUCCUUUAAUCACACAGUGGUUGCAAAAGAAAAAUUACCCAGUUCACAAAGCGCUGAAGAUUAAAAAGUCAGUGCGGAUAAUAAACCGUGUGGCAGGGGAAGGAUCCAGUCAGCAUUGGCUAACCUGGAUAACGAGGCAUCGUUAGCAGCUCAAGCACUGGCACCAAAAAAGCAGUUUCCAGCUCAGAGGACUGUUUUAUUGUCUCGAGGGUGAAGGUGCUCUCGAGCUGUGAAUGGUGGAGAAUGGAAUUGGACGUGUACCUGCCAUGUCCCCUGAGAAAGACUGGCAGACAUCGGCCAGAAGAAAAUCACAUGGAUGGAGAAGACCCUGGAGGAAUACUAGACAGUUCCAAUCAAUUAUUGGAAGUUUGUAGCAAGUGCUGCUGGGAAAACUUGUAGGUGGGUAAAACUAUAUCAUCUAGCAGGAAACAGCAAGAACUUUGUCCACAUGAGACCUGGGAAUAUUUCAAAGGCAAAUUGCAUCUUGUAAAAUUAAUUUGGCACAUAUAGCUCUUUUGUAAGCCAGAUAGAUUUGUUUCAUAGU